GGCUGGUCCAAGUGCAGUGGUGUUUACAACUAACUGAUCACAACCAGUUACAGAUUUCUUUGUUCCUUCUCCACUCCCACCGCUUCACUUGAUUAGCCUUUU
Callithrix jacchus (white-tufted-ear marmoset) is the source of this 102-nucleotide Y RNA. It matches the Rfam family "Y RNA". From Rfam's summary of the family: Y RNAs are components of the Ro ribonucleoprotein particle (Ro RNP), in association with Ro60 and La proteins. The Y RNAs and Ro60 and La proteins are well conserved, but the function of the Ro RNP is not known. NCBI's taxonomy places the organism in Eukaryota, Metazoa, Chordata, Mammalia, Primates, Cebidae. The record is from Ensembl.